This 169-nucleotide ribosomal RNA is filed under the name uncultured bacterium. RNAcentral's name for it is "partial 16S ribosomal RNA". It matches the Rfam family "Bacterial small subunit ribosomal RNA", at positions 149 to 334 of the family's 1533-position model. The record is from RNAcentral.
GUUGGAAACGGUAACUAAUACCGUAUACGCCCUACGGGGGAAAAAUUUAUUGCGUAUUAGAUGAGCCUAUAUUAGAUUAGCUAGUUGGUGAGUAAUAGCCUACCAAGGCAAUGAUCUAUAGCUGAUCUGAGAGGAUGAUCAGCCACACUGGAACUGAGACACGGUCCAG